ACUCCUACGGGAGGCAGCAGUAGGGAAUCUUCCGCAAUGGGCGCAAGCCUGAUGGAGCAACACCGCGUGAGUGAAGAAGGGUUUCGGCUCGUAAAGCUCUGUUGUUAAAGAAGAACACGUAUGAGAGUAACUGUUCAUACGUUGACGGUAUUUAACCAGAAAGUCACGGCUAACUACGUGCCAGCAGCCGCGGUAAUACGUAGGUGGCAAGCGUUAUCCGGAUUUAUUGGGCGUAAAGAGAGUGCAGGCGGUUUUCUAAGUCUGAUGUGAAAGCCUUCGGCUUAACCGGAGAAGUGCAUCGGAAACUGGACAACUUGAGUGCAGAAGAGGGUAGUGGAACUCCAUGUGUAGCGGUGGAAUGCGUAGAUAUAUGGAAGAACACCAGUGGCGAAGGCGGCUACCUGGUCUGCAACUGACGCUGAGACUCGAAAGCAUGGGUAGCGAACAGGAUUAGAUACCCUGGUAGGAUAGCG
RNAcentral lists this ribosomal RNA (473 nucleotides) under uncultured bacterium. RNAcentral's name for it is "bacterial SSU rRNA". It matches the Rfam family "Bacterial small subunit ribosomal RNA", at positions 335 to 801 of the family's 1533-position model. The record is from RNAcentral.